UACAGAGGUCUCAAGCGUUGUUCGGAUUCAUUGGGCGUAAAGGGCGCGUAGGUGGCGGGACAAGCGUGCGGUGAAAGCUCGGGGCUCAACCCCGCGUCGGCCGUGCGAACUGUUUUGCUUGAGCACUGUAGAGGCAGGCGGAAUUCCGGGUGUAGCGGUGGAAUGCGUAGAGAUCCGGAAGAACACCCGUGGCGAAAGCGGCUCUCUGGGACGGUACUGGACGCUGAGACGCGAAAGCGUGGGGAGCAAACAGGG
This 255-nucleotide ribosomal RNA is filed under the name uncultured bacterium. RNAcentral's name for it is "partial 16S ribosomal RNA". It matches the Rfam family "Bacterial small subunit ribosomal RNA", at positions 524 to 777 of the family's 1533-position model. The record is from RNAcentral.